RNAcentral lists this ribosomal RNA (442 nucleotides) under uncultured Desulfuromonas sp. RNAcentral describes it as "bacterial SSU rRNA". It matches the Rfam family "Bacterial small subunit ribosomal RNA", at positions 939 to 1382 of the family's 1533-position model. The record is from RNAcentral. Lineage: Bacteria; Pseudomonadati; Thermodesulfobacteriota; Desulfuromonadia; Desulfuromonadales; Desulfuromonadaceae.
AUGUGGUUUAAUUCGACGCACGCGCAGAACUUACCUGGGCUUGACAUCCCGAUCGCACUUCUGGAAACAGAGAGGUCAGUUCGGCUGGAUCGGUGACAGGUGCUGCAUGGCUGUCGUCAGCUCGUGUCGUGAGAUGUUGGGUUAAGUCCCGCAACGAGCGCAACCCUCGUCCUUAGUUGCCAGCAUUAAGUUGGGCACUCUAAGGAGACUGCCGGUGUUAAACCGGAGGAAGGCGGGGAUGACGUCAAGUCCUCAUGGCCCUUAUGUCCAGGGCUACACACGUGCUACAAUGGCCGGUACAAAGGGUAGCAAGACCGCGAGGUGGAGCCAAUCCCAAAAAGCCGGUCUCAGUUCGGAUUGGAGUCUGCAACUCGACUCCAUGAAGUUGGAAUCGCUAGUAAUCGUGGAUCAGCAUGCCACGGUGAAUACGUUCCCGGGCCUU